UACGGGGGGGAGCAAGCGUUUGUUCGGAUUUACUGGGCGUAAAGGGCGCGUAGGCGGCGUGACAAGUCACUUGUGAAAUCUCCGGGCUUAACUCGGAACGGUCAAGUGAUACUGUCGUGCUAGAGUACAGAAGGGGGCAACUGGAAUUCUCGGUGUAGCGGUGAAAUGCGCAGAUAUCAGGAGGAACACCGGUGGCGAAGGCGACUCACUGGGACAUGUAUUGACGCUGAGGUGCGAAAAGCGUGGGGGGAGCAAAACAGGG
RNAcentral lists this ribosomal RNA (262 nucleotides) under uncultured bacterium. RNAcentral's name for it is "partial 16S ribosomal RNA". It matches the Rfam family "Bacterial small subunit ribosomal RNA", at positions 524 to 777 of the family's 1533-position model. The record is from RNAcentral.